CAACUUUCAACAACGGAUCUCUUGGCUCUCGCAUCGAUGAAGAACGCAGCGAAAUGCGAUAAGUAAUGUGAAUUGCAGAAUUCAGUGAAUCAUCGAAUCUUUGAACGCAAAUUGCGCUCUUUGGUAUUCCGAAGAGCAUGCCUGUUUGAGU
Molecule: ribosomal RNA, 151 nt
Filed under: Bullera sp. TY-141
Lineage: Eukaryota; Fungi; Basidiomycota; Tremellomycetes; Tremellales; Bulleraceae
Description: 5.8S ribosomal RNA
Rfam family: 5.8S ribosomal RNA
About the family: 5.8S ribosomal RNA (5.8S rRNA) is a component of the large subunit of the eukaryotic ribosome.
Source: RNAcentral